This is a long non-coding RNA of Helianthus annuus (common sunflower), 996 nucleotides long. RefSeq lists it as uncharacterized. The record is from RefSeq and is a predicted model, not a curated record. The transcript has 3 exons. Lineage: Eukaryota; Viridiplantae; Streptophyta; Magnoliopsida; Asterales; Asteraceae.
UUUAUCUUUACUUUAAUUCGUUAUAAAUAUGGUUAAUUUUUCAUUGUUUAGUUAAUUAAAUUAAUUAAUUUUACAAUUUAAAAAGUUGUUUUUAUAGUAAUCUAGUUAGCCUUGUUAGAUUUUUAAAGUUAAAACUAAUCUAGUUAGUUUAAACUAUAAGGUUAGUAAAAAUAACGUAAUUUGAGUUUUAAUUAAAGUGAAGCCCAAACCCACUAAUUAAACCCUAAUUAUAAAACACUAGUAAAACCCUAACCUUUAUUUAACAUCAGCCGACACCCUCCUAUUUUCUCUCCCAAAUUCUCUGAAUUUGCAUCUUAUCCUCACAAACAACACACAGACUCAUAAUAAUCUCCACUCCUUCUCUCGAUCCAUACUUCAAAACACUUACAACCUCCUUCUCAAAUUACCUAUAAAACUCACUCAUCUCUCCCUCACACAACACAGAUCAAAGAAACCCCCAUCACUAUCCUUCAAAACCCUCACAUCCCUCUCACUUGGAAGGCCAGCCGACCACCACACUUGGUGGCGGUGCUCGGCGGUUGAGGAAGAGAGUCAGCGAGAGAGAUGGAGAACGGGAGAUAGAUUAUCAGAGAGAGAGAGAGCCGACGACCGGCGGCGCCGCGAGUGGCGACGGAGCUGGUUUUUCCGGCAGACACAAACAACCACGGCAACCACCACCACUCGCAAACUGUUCGACACCCUCAAUCCACCAUAUUCUCGCACGCUCUCUCGUAAGUUGGAAGCUGCCAUAACUCGCCCGAGAAGUCCGACGUUCCCAGAGAUACACGGAGAUCGACGGUAGCCGUGUCGAAGUUCCCGAAGACAUACGGAGUUCGCGACGGAGCUCUCGCUUGAUCGUUUCGGUUAAUCGCUCUUGUUCAUUCUCUUGGAAUUCUCCAAUCUUUACUCGUGCGUUAUUUCGAGAAAUCUCCAAACGCAACCACUGUUGAUGAUGAUGAAAUGAAAGAGGUAGCACGAUGCCUAGAUACACACUUU